AGUGAACGCUGGCGGUAGGCCUAACACAUGCAAGUCGAACGGCAGCACAGUAAGAGCUUGCUCUUACGGGUGGCGAGUGGCGGACGGGUGAGGAAUACAUCGGAAUCUACUUUUUCGUGGGGGAUAACGUAGGGAAACUUACGCUAAUACCGCAUACGACCUACGGGUGAAAGCAGGGGAUCUUCGGACCUUGCGCGAUUGAAUGAGCCGAUGUCGGAUUAGCUAGUUGGCGGGGUAAAGGCCCACCAAGGCGACGAUCCGUAGCUGGUCUGAGAGGAUGAUCAGCCACACUGGAACGGAGACACGGUCCAGACGCCUACGGGAGGCAGCAGUGGGGAAUAUUGGACAAAGGGCGCAAGCCUGAUCCAGCCAUACCGCGUGGGUGAAGAAGGCCUUCGGGUUGUAAAGCCCUUUUGUUGGGAAAGAAAAGCAGCAGGUUAAUACCCCGCUGUUCUGACGGUACCCAAAGAAUAAGCACCGGCUAACUUCGUG
Molecule: ribosomal RNA, 492 nt
Filed under: uncultured bacterium
Lineage: Bacteria
Description: partial 16S ribosomal RNA
Rfam family: Bacterial small subunit ribosomal RNA
Source: RNAcentral